UAGGGAAUCUUCCACAAUGGACGAAAGUCUGAUGGAGCAACGCCGCGUGAGUGAAGAAGGGUUUCGGCUCGUAAAACUCUGUUGUUAAAGAAGAACACGUAUGAGAGUAACUGUUCAUACGUUGACGGUAUUUAACCAGAAAGUCACGGCUAACUACGUGCUAG
Molecule: ribosomal RNA, 164 nt
Filed under: uncultured bacterium
Lineage: Bacteria
Description: partial 16S ribosomal RNA
Rfam family: Bacterial small subunit ribosomal RNA
Source: RNAcentral